AGUGAACGCUGGCGGUAGGCCUAACACAUGCAAGUCGAACGGCAGCACAGGAGAGCUUGCUCUCUGGGUGGCGAGUGGCGGACGGGUAAGGAAUACAUCGGAAUCUACUCUGUCGUGGGGGAUAACGUAGGGAAACUUACGCUAAUACCGCAUACGACCUACGGGUGAAAGCAGGGGACCUUCGGGCCUUGCGCGAUUGAAUGAGCCGAUGUCGGAGUAGCUAGUUGGCGGGGUAAAGGCCGACCAAGGCGACGAUCCGUAGCUGGUCUGAGAGGCUGAUCAGCCACACUGGAACUGGGACACGGUCCAGACUCCGACGGGAGGCAGGAGUGGGGAAUAUUGGAGAAUGGGCGCAAGCCUGAUCCAGCCAUACCGCGUGGGUGAAGAAGGCCUUCGGGUUGUAAAGCCCUUUUGUUGGAAAGAAAUCCAGCUGGCUAAUACCCGGUUGGGAUGACGGUACCCAAAGAAUAAGCACCGGCUAACUACGUGCCAGCCGCCGCGGUAA
RNAcentral lists this ribosomal RNA (505 nucleotides) under uncultured bacterium. RNAcentral describes it as "partial 16S ribosomal RNA". It matches the Rfam family "Bacterial small subunit ribosomal RNA", at positions 29 to 523 of the family's 1533-position model. The record is from RNAcentral.